Molecule: long non-coding RNA, 3130 nt
Organism: Sander lucioperca (pikeperch)
Lineage: Eukaryota; Metazoa; Chordata; Actinopteri; Perciformes; Percidae
Exons: 2
Source: RefSeq, a predicted model, not a curated record
GAACAUAGCCAUACUGAGAAAUACAGAGAGAGUUGUGUGGAGCUGAUAGUCUUAAUUAGCUUUGUAGCAACUCAUUUGGCAAUGGCUUGAACAGACAUUCAAUAAUAUCAAAAAGUUACAUACUAAAGCUUUAACACUUGCACACUGUAAAUGAUUAAAAGGUUACCAGAGGGAACACAAAGCGUUGUUUUUCUCACUAAGAGCAGAUUAAAAAAAGUGUAACCAACCACUGGAUCAUUUAGUUACACUCAAUUCAAAGUCUUUUUAAAGGGCAUAUUUUUAUGUGAACUUUAAGUCCGUACCAAAAAAAGUUCCUUUUCCCAUCUUCUCACCCCCCCCCGUCCACAUCCUCAUGUGUAAGCAUCCCACCACGGCACUGUCAAUGUGUAGUUUACGUUUGCAGCCUGCCAAAUCUAAUCACUAUACAUUUCUCAGUUAUGUCACCUCCAUUUUAAUAAAAGGGGAAAAAGAAGGGGAGAGAGAAAAGAUAAUCAAAUUUGCAAGAAAAAGCAAUUGCUCAACAAAGAUUCAGGGCCAGGGCUUAAGACAAGUUCAGUGCGGGGGAAAUAACUAGAUUCUGCAUAGAGAUAGAGUUGGCCCUCCACACUUGAGAGAGAGAGAGAGAGAGAGAGAGAGAGAGAGAGAGAGAGAGAGAGAGAGAGGGGGGGGUGGGGGAGUGAGAGGGAGGGAUUCAGUGAGCUGUUUUAAUUAAAGUGGAGAAGGAGACUUAGAGUAUGCAGCUCCUUCUAUUGUCCCCUCUGUAUGAAAAAGAUUACAUUUUGUUGCCGUCAGGAUUCCUGAUUUCACGCCUUGAUAACUUUGACUGUGUGAGGCAGAUUGCUCUCUCCCGACAAAUACUGUGUUCACUAAAGUCGGCCUGUUAUCUUGAAUAAAUGAAAAUAUUAUCAUAAUAAUUACAUAUAAUUUAAUCUUCUUUAGAACUAAUUAAGGUUUCAACGAGAGGGCGAAAUGUAUUCCUAAAAAUCAAGUCAGCGAGUAUGAGGAUGAGCUGAGCCCAGAGUUAACUGCUCUCAUUAAGAUAAAUGGCCACUGGCUGGCCCAUCUCAUGUUACACUCCGUAUACAGUAUCAGUGGAGAGAAGUGCACAAUGGAGCUAUGAAUUAGGUAGCCUGACAUUUUGUCGGUGAGAGUGCACAAUGACUUUUUGGUGAACAGUCACCAGACAGGUGUGAAGAGUCAUUAAACAGUGAGGUCAGGUAACCAGUUUGAUGCUAAUGUUCUGUGAAGCCAGGGAUUUAGCUGAGAUCGGUGCGCGCUUGGCUGGAGCUGUGCAGCGAUGUCCCAGGUGGACCCGUGCCAUAGUAAGUGGUCCCCAUGAAGCCAUCCUCCUGUGUGUGUGUGUGUGUGUGUGUGUGUGUGUGUGUUAAAGCCAAACAUAAAUGCUUUGUCUUGGCUGCUCUGUGUGAGAUUGAGGAGCAGAGAAAACACAGUGAUAGGGCUAAAUAUAGUGGCAAAUACCUGUAAAUCUGCACAUCAAAGCUCUGCAUUUUUUAAUUUCAUCUUAAAAAGAGGAGUAGCUCCUCUCCAUAUGCGAUCUCAUCAACUUGCGGCCCCGAGCAAAUAGCAGCAGUGCACGAGCGAGUCUGCAGGGGACAAGCAGCUACAGCACCAGCAACAAUGAUAAAGGCUGUUCAUCUGGCAAAGUCAAACCUCCGGGUCCUCUUGCGCGUGAUUGUUUUAUCGAAACAGAUAUUUCAAACAUGCACCGAUAUAUGUUAACAACACACGUGUCUGUGUCUCUACUGUAAGUGUCUCACAAUUAAGAAUUUUCACAGAGGGGAUUUUCCAUCAAUCGGAGUGCCAAGUGAGAAAGCUUGUAAGGACAGAUUCUGAUUCCUGCCACAUCACAGAAAUGCAGAAUUUAUGUGAAAGCAUAAAGAAAGAGUCUGAGUGGAACAUGCAAUAUAGAUGUAGAUCCUGUCUGCCUGAUAAGAUACAAAGCAAAAUGUAAAAUGCAUAUCAACCAGCAUGAAUGAACCACUGCCUCUGCUUAUUCAUUUCCUCAGCCUCCAACUCUCUCUGCUACCUUCCUCUCCAGAAGUCUGCAUGUUACUCAGCCAUAUGCCCCGCCAUCUUUAUGCUAUCAUCCUCUCCUUGUGUGUGACCCGGCUGACUGGCCUAAGCCUCCCUACCCUCUCUACCUCCCUUACCCUGGUGUUGAACCCUGCUGUGGGUAGUUCCUCAUUGCUGCCCUGCCCGCCCUCCUGCGCACAGCGCUGAGCUGAGCUGGCUAAUCUCUGUGAGCUUAAUGCCGAGCCAACGGAACUCCCCUCUCUCCUUCUCUAUCUAUCUAUUUCCCUCUAUAUCUAUAUCCCAUCAAACAAAUGCGUGUGCACACACAGUCUUAAGAUGUGCUGGUUUAGGUAUUUUCCUCUCUCCUGUUCAAAGCAUCUUACAUAAGCCCCUGGAUUGUGAGGACAUGAAAUCUCCUCGAGAGCAUGCCAACGGAGUGCCCGACACAGAUACGCCUCAGUAACCUCAAUACCCUUCUCCCCGCCUCCUGCAGGGCGUCCGGAGAGAAGCUGGAUACUCACACAUGUUGGAAUCAAAGCUGUCAACAUGAGCCCACAACACUGAACUCAUGUAGAAAACAAGGACAUAUUUUGGGCUACAUGCUGGGAAGAAGCCCCUCACUCUGCUCCUUAAUGAUCCUGUCAGAUUUACAGCAAUACUCUCACUGAGACUCCACCCUCUCUGCAUCUCUCUGGGGCGAGUUAAAGAAAGGCUGCUGGACUAAGUUUAAGAGACAGCCAUGUUGCUGUGGGAUGGACGGUGUUGUUACGGCAGCAGCCUUACUGUUGUCUCAUCUAAUGCCAACAGACAUGUGGAUAUUUGGCCUUCGAGACUGCAAGACAACACUGGUCCACUCAGCAAAGAAUAGUAACAAAACCCGAAUGUCAAAAACACAAUAUAUAAAUAUAAAAGAUCUGAAUAAAGUUGUAUUUAAAUGUGGGUGAUGCAGUGGAGGUUGUCUGUUUUAUUUUUCUGUUCCUCAUGGUUUUGUUUCUCUAUGUCAUGUGGAUGAUAUACUGUAUGGAUGAUAUGAUGGCAUUUACUGUGGUUUCCAACAUUCUAAAAAUCAAUAAAGUACACAGAAGUACUUAAACCA